Molecule: long non-coding RNA, 957 nt
Organism: Acyrthosiphon pisum (pea aphid)
Lineage: Eukaryota; Metazoa; Arthropoda; Insecta; Hemiptera; Aphididae
Exons: 3
Source: RefSeq, a predicted model, not a curated record
UAUGGUGAUAAAUAUUAUGACGGCACGAUUAUUAGGAACUUAAUAACUUUAUUUUUCUUUAUAAUCUUGUAUGACAGCAACUAGCAAGUAUUAUAAGAAUAAACUGAUAAUAAAUAAUUGAAUACUUACUAAAAUAAUUAAAUAUUUGAUUUAAAUUCUACAAUGUGUGUGAACUGGGAAAAAACUUCGAUACGAAAUCAGAGUCCAAUAGGUACGGAUGACAGAUCGGUUCGUUUCGCUGGUAUAUUAUACUAAAACGAUGUGUAUCGAUACAUUACAAUUUCUUCCUUGAAAAUGUUGAUACAAUAAUAUUAAUUUACAACAUUGCCUUGAUUAUUACUAGGUAUUAUACUUUCUCUACGCGCUGUAUAUUGGUAAAAGCCAAUAGGUUAUGAGCCUAUGAUCUAUGGUUAUCCAUGCGUCAGUGGCUCCCGUAUAAUAUUUGCCAAUUUUUACUUUCUGAUACGGUGGUUAGGCCCAGCACAAAUUUGACCCAACCCAUGUACAUCGCACGAGCACCACGCGCGUUACCGAUCCCAUCUCAAGUACAUGUUUUUUUAAUAGUAACGCAUAUUGAACGCAGCGCAUACCCGUGGGCCAUGAGUCAAGUGGUGGCCAGUAUCCAAGAUGACACCAAUCCAGCUGCAAGUUCUUCUCGAUUUAGAGUCAGAAUCUGAGGGAUAUCACUGCAGGUCAAGAGUGUAAUGCACAAAAGCCUAUUGGAAGCGAAAAAACUAGCAGUAUGUCUGGACCGUGGGAUGGGUUUAAUAAUCGACACUCUGUAUCAAACCACGCUCUACAAAAUACCUAGUCCACGCAUGUGCUACGCAUACAAUGUACAAGGCUGGGUCCAACUUGCGCCUGGCCUUACUUCAAUACUGAAUAAUUUAUUGCCUAUAUAUAGCUUAAUAGGGAUUCUAAUAAACAUUUUUUUCAAAUAUACUAUAAUUUUCAACA